UCUGCAUGUACUAUGACAUCAUCACUGGAUAUUAUCACUGGAUGGUUCAAAGAUAUCAGGAAGAUGCCAAUUCUUCAUCGCUGCCUAAGCCACAUUAUGAAGAAUGCGAAAGUGUUCUGCAAGAAACACUCCCAUAGUGGUGACAAUGUACAAAAGCACCUCCAAAAUCUUCAGAACAGGAUGGAGAGAAUGGGCAUGUAUGAAGGAAGUUACUGUGGUGACAAUGACUUUCAGGUUAAAGUGGGACCAACACCAUUUCACACUCAUUUUGAAGAAAUAAUGGCAAAUGCACCUGUAUGUGAAAAUGGGGAGACAAUUGAGUAUCAUUCACCUACAUUCAUGCCUAGCCUGUUAAAAUAUUUCCUACCUCAGGCACCUCUCUGGUCUGGUCUUAUGUUGGGUAAGUGGACUUUAGUUGUACGUGUAUGAGGUUGUGUGAGUUGAAGAAUGUCAGAUAUGUGAAUUGUAAGUAGCUGUAUGCAAAUGAAAAACAUUCCCCUCACUUUGAAAACGCUCAACAGUGUGAAAAGUUUGAAUUAUUAUGUUGUAUACUCUGUGUGAAUUAUUACUUAUAUAAUUUAAUGGUAUAAAUGGGUUACUUUCAAAUUGUCUAGGUGAUCUUGGCCGCCGUGGAAAAGGACCAGCCUACAAAUGUCUGUCCAACAACUUUAUGCGCUGCAGAGACUUAUCUACACAGAACUACACAGAGGACAACAAAACACAGGGUGUGAUGGAGAAAAGUCAGUGGGAUCUGAAGAAAAUACGAUUCCAGAGACGCCGUUUUACAAGACUUGGUGACUUUGUUUACAUUUAUUAGCACACCCAUAAUGCUCUAUUAAUGGAGUUCUCUGACUCUGAACGCAAGAAAAAGACACACAGGGUACAUGUCGAGCGCUGGAAACAAAGAAAGCCUCGCAGGAAAGCAAUUUAUGUGUCACCACUUAAAAAGGGUUUCCCAUUCAAGACAGCCAAAAAGGUACUGUAUUAACAUACAACUUAUUGCAAUCAGAGUUGGACAGUACUGAAAUAGUUUUAAAUGUAAAAAUAAUCUGUACCAGUGUUUUUCUUUGGAAAACAUUUACUUCACUACAUUCAAAAGCAUAAUGUUGUCAUUUUUGCUGCACUACAUUUCAAAUACAGGUAUGUGCCAAAAAAUUAGAAUAUCGAGGGAAAGUCCAUUUAUUUUAGUAAUUUGAUUCGAAACGUGAAACUUGUAUGUUAUAUUCGUUCACUACACACAAAGUGAAAUAUUUCAAUCAUUUUAUUUUUUUGUAACAGGGGGACUCGACAACAGCGUUGUAAGAUCCAAGUGCGAGCUUUUAUUACACAGAUCGUAGUCAAGACAGGCAGGGUCGAACACCAGCAAACAGUAUAUCCAAGGCAAGACAAAUGCAUAAUCCAAAAGACAGGCAAGUGUCAAAAUCCAAGUGAGCAAACAGGGAAAACGCUAAGUAGAAUCCACAACAGCAAAACAAUACUUUGCAAGGUUCUGUUUGGCAUAGCCUUCUUUAUAUAGCUGCCAAACAGGAAGUAACCAAAGAAGCAGCAGAGAGAGUGGUAACAGUCAGUGUAGGGUUAGGGCUCCUUCUGCUAGCCUGGCAUUACAAUUUGUUUCAAUUUUGAUGAUUAUAGAUUAAAGACAAAAAAACAAAACAAAUCUAGUAUUUCACAAAAUUAGAAUAUUUCAUGUGACCAAUAAAAAAAGGAUCUAAAACACAUGUUGGCCUUCUGAAAAGCGUGUUAAUGUUAAAGGACCCCCUUUUGCUCUAAUUACAGCAUCAAGGCGGCGCGGCAUGGAGGCAAUCAGGCUUUGACACAGCUUAGGUGCCAGAUCCUGCUGGAAAAUAAAAUCAUCAUCUCCAAAAAGCUUGUCGGCAGCAGGAAGCAUGAAGUGCUCUAAAAUUUCCUGGUAUACAGCUGUGUUUAAUUGAUAAAAGACAAUAGACCCACACCAGCAGAUGACAUGACUCCCCAAACCAUCACUGACUGUGGAAACUUCACACUGGACUUUAAGCAGCUUGACUUUUGUGCCUCUCCGAUCUUUCUCCAGACUCUGGGACCUUGAUUUCCAAAUUAAAUGCAAAAUUUGCUUUCAUCUAAAAACAGGACUUGGGACCACUGGGCAAGAGACCAGUACUUUUUCUCCUUAGCCCUGCACAGAUGCUCCUGACAUUGUUUUUGGUUCAGGCGUCACUUGACACAUAAUCAAGCUUUUCUGAGAUGAUGAUUUUAUUUUCCAGCAAGAUUUGUGUUCUUAAUACAAUUAAUACACAUUUUAACUACAUGUAUUACAUUGUAAUCUGUGUCACAGUAAGCUUUAGUAAUUAAAGUAUUGUUGUGUUUGUCUAUAAUAAUAAUUACUGUUUAUUGUGAAUAAAACACAUGCUCUUACUGCAUUACUUACAAUAAAUGUGAAAUUUA
Molecule: RNA transcript, 2421 nt
Organism: Clarias gariepinus (North African catfish)
Lineage: Eukaryota; Metazoa; Chordata; Actinopteri; Siluriformes; Clariidae
Exons: 5
Source: RefSeq, a predicted model, not a curated record